RNAcentral lists this ribosomal RNA (468 nucleotides) under uncultured bacterium. RNAcentral's name for it is "partial 16S ribosomal RNA". It matches the Rfam family "Bacterial small subunit ribosomal RNA", at positions 28 to 507 of the family's 1533-position model. The record is from RNAcentral.
GACGAACGCUGGCGGCGUGCUUAACACAUGCAAGUCGAACGGAGAGGCCCUGCUUUUGUGGGGUGCUCGAGUGGCGAACGGGUGAGUAACACGUGAGUAACCUGCCCUUGACUUUGGGAUAACUUCAGGAAACUGGGGCUAAUACCGUAUAGGAGCUCCUGUUGCAUGGUGGGGGUUGGAACGUUUCGGCGGGUGGGGAUGGACGCGCGGCUUAUCAGCUUGUUGGUGGGGUAGUGGCUUACCAAGGCUUUGACGGGUAGCCGGCAUGGGAGGGUGACCGGCCACAAUGGGACUGAGAGACGGCCCAGACUGCUACGGGAGGCAGCAGUGGGGAAUAUUGCACAAUGGGCGGAAGCCUGAUGCAGCAACGCCGCGUGCGGGAUGACGGCCUUCGGGUUGUAAACCGCUUUCGCCUGUGACGAAGCGUGAGUGACGGUAAUGGGUAAAGAAGCACCGGCUAACUACGUG